RNAcentral lists this ribosomal RNA (410 nucleotides) under uncultured bacterium. RNAcentral's name for it is "bacterial SSU rRNA". It matches the Rfam family "Bacterial small subunit ribosomal RNA", at positions 358 to 772 of the family's 1533-position model. The record is from RNAcentral.
GGAAUUUUGCGCAAUGGGGGAAACCCUGACGCAGCAACGCCGCGUGGACGAUGAAGCCCCUUGGGGUGUAAAGUCCUUUCGGCAGGGAAGAACACCGGGCAACCGGUUGACGGUACCUGAAGAAGAAGCCCCGGCUAACUCCGUGCCAGCCGCCGCGGUAAGACGGGGGGGGCAAGCGUUGUUCGGAAUUACGGGGCGUAAAGGGAGCGUAGGCGGUGCGGCAAGUCCGGUGUGAAAUCUCCGAGCUUAACUCGGAGCGGUCAUCGGAAACUGCCGUGCUAGAGUGUGGGAGAGGAGAGUGGAAUCCCCGGUGUAGCGGUGAAAUGCGUAGAUAUCGGGGGGAACACCAGCGGCGAAGGCGGCUCUCUGGACCACAACUGACGCUGAGGCUCGAAAGCUAGGGGAGCAAA